AGUUAAUAAGCUUUAAGCAUAUAUUUUGAAAAUAUAAGUUAGAAAUUAAUAAUUUUCUAUUAACUU
RNAcentral lists this transfer RNA (66 nucleotides) under Vespula rufa. RNAcentral's name for it is "tRNA-Ser". The record is from RNAcentral. Lineage: Eukaryota; Metazoa; Arthropoda; Insecta; Hymenoptera; Vespidae.